AGUGGCGGACGGGUGAGUAACGCGUGGGUAACCUACCUCAUACAGGGGGAUAACAGUUGGAAACGGCUGCUAAUACCGCAUAAGCGCACAGUACCGCAUGGUACCGUGUGAAAAACUCCGGUGGUAUGAGAUGGACCCGCGUCUGAUUAGCUAGUUGGUGGGGUAACGGCCUACCAAGGCGACGAUCAGUAGCCGACCUGAGAGGGUGACCGGCCACAUUGGGACUGAGACACGGCCCAA
RNAcentral lists this ribosomal RNA (240 nucleotides) under uncultured bacterium. RNAcentral describes it as "partial 16S ribosomal RNA". It matches the Rfam family "Bacterial small subunit ribosomal RNA", at positions 94 to 334 of the family's 1533-position model. The record is from RNAcentral.